This 406-nucleotide ribosomal RNA is filed under the name uncultured bacterium. RNAcentral describes it as "partial 16S ribosomal RNA". It matches the Rfam family "Bacterial small subunit ribosomal RNA", at positions 30 to 526 of the family's 1533-position model. The record is from RNAcentral.
AUUGAACGCUGGCGGCGGGCCUAACACAUGCAAGUAGAACGAGUGGAGGACGGGUGUGUCAUGUCUGGGAAACUGCCUGUUGGGGGGGGAUAACUACUGGAAACGGUAGCUAAUACCGCAUACCAUCAGAUGUACCCAGAUGGGAUUAGCUAGUUGGUGGGGUAAAGGCUCACCAAGGCGACGAUCCCUAGCGGGUCUGAGAGGAUGACCAGCCACACUGGAACUGAGACACGGUCCAGACUCCUACGGGAGGCAGCAGUGGGGAAUAUUGCACAAUGGGCGCAAGCCUGAUGCAGCCAUGCCGCGUGUAUGAAGAAGGCCUUCGGGUUGUAAAGUACUUUCAGCGGGGAGGCGUUACCCGCAGAAGAAGCACCGGCUAACUCCGUGCCAGCAGCCGCGGUAAUAC